Long non-coding RNA from Cynocephalus volans (Philippine flying lemur), 358 nucleotides. RefSeq lists it as uncharacterized. NCBI's taxonomy places the organism in Eukaryota, Metazoa, Chordata, Mammalia, Dermoptera, Cynocephalidae. The transcript is spliced from 3 exons. The record is from RefSeq and is a predicted model, not a curated record.
CUAGCUUUGGGGGCCCGUGACGAUCCUAUCGCGGGAUUUGGGGGAAAGGGUGGGGUUUAGGUGAAAUUCAAAGGCAUCAUGGUUUCCACUGUCCCAGAGCAAAUCGGGGCCGUGUGUAAAGGGUCCACAUCGGUGUAGACGGCGAGGUGGAUCCGGGCCCCACAGGCGGCGCAGGCCUGGAAGCCCAUAGACCUCCUGAAGUCUCCCAAUGGGCUAAGAAGAGUCAAGGACACUGGAGGGAAGAAUUCUGCACAGCACCUGAGCAACUCAAGGCAUCAUCUUGGAAGCAGAAAGAUGGGCCUUCACCGGACACCAAACCUACCAGUGCCUUGAUCUUGGACUUCCCAGCCUCCAGAAC